AAGAACCUUACCUACCCUUGACAUGGCUGGAAUCCCCGAGAGAUGGGGAGUGCUCGAAAGAGAACCAGUACACAGGUGCUGCAUGGCGUCGUCAGCUCGUGUCGUGAGAUGUUGGGUUAAGUCCCGCAACGAGCGCAACCCUUGUCAUUAGUUGCUACGAAAGGGCACUCUAAUGAGACUGCCGGUGACAAACCGGAGGAAGGUGGGGAUGACGUCAAGUCCUCAUGGCCCUUAUGGGUAGGGCUUCACACGUCAUACAAUGGUACAUACAGAGCGCCGCCAACCCGCGAGGGGGAGCUAAUCGCAGAAAGUGUAUCGUAGUCCGGAUUGUAGUCUGCAACUCGACUGCAUGAAGUUGAAUCGCUAGUAAUCGCGAU
This 377-nucleotide ribosomal RNA is filed under the name uncultured bacterium. RNAcentral's name for it is "bacterial SSU rRNA". It matches the Rfam family "Bacterial small subunit ribosomal RNA", at positions 964 to 1348 of the family's 1533-position model. The record is from RNAcentral.